Molecule: ribosomal RNA, 440 nt
Filed under: uncultured bacterium
Lineage: Bacteria
Description: bacterial SSU rRNA
Rfam family: Bacterial small subunit ribosomal RNA
Source: RNAcentral
GCACAACGCGAAGAACCUUACCAAGGCUUGACAUCCCCUUGACUGGCACAGAGAUGUGCCCUCUCCUUCGGGAGCAAGGGUGACAGGUGGUGCAUGGUUGUCGUCAGCUCGUGUCGUGAGAUGUUGGGUUAAGUCCCGCAACGAGCGCAACCCUUAUCCUUAGUUGCCAGCAUUUAAGGUGGGCACUCUAAGGAGACUGCCGAUGAUAGAUCGGAGGAAGGUGGGGAUGACGUCAAAUCAUCAUGCCCCUUAUGUCUUGGGCUACACACGUGCUACAAUGGUCGGUACAAAGGGGAGCGAAGGAGUGAUCUGGAGCAAAUCCCAAUAAACCGAUCUCAGUUCGGAUUGUAGGCUGCAACUCGCCUACAUGAAGUCGGAGUUGCUAGUAAUCGCGAAUCAGAACGUCGCGGUGAAUGCGUUCCCGGGUCUUGUACACACCG